RNAcentral lists this ribosomal RNA (207 nucleotides) under uncultured bacterium. RNAcentral describes it as "partial 16S ribosomal RNA". It matches the Rfam family "Bacterial small subunit ribosomal RNA", at positions 568 to 774 of the family's 1533-position model. The record is from RNAcentral.
CGCGUAGGUGGUUUGUUAAGCGGGAUGUGAAAGCCCCGGGCUUAACCUGGGAACGGCAUUUCGAACUGGCAGGCUAGAGUGUGGUAGAGGGUAGUGGAAUUUCCUGUGUAGCGGUGAAAUGCGUAGAUAUAGGAAGGAACACCAGUGGCGAAGGCGGCUACCUGGACCAACACUGACACUGAGGUGCGAAAGCGUGGGGAGCAAACA